CGUACGCAAUCUUCCUUUAACUGGGGCACAACUCCGUGAAAACGGAGCUAAUUCCCCAUAAGAUUAUGGAAUGGCAUCAUUCAGUAAUUAAAACUUCGGUGGUUAAAGAUGAGCGUGCGUCUGAUUAGCUAGUUGGUGAGGUAACGGCUCACCAAGGCAACGAUCAGUAGCUGGUGUGAGAGCACGACCAGCCACACGGGCACUGAGAUACGGGCCCG
This 218-nucleotide ribosomal RNA is filed under the name uncultured bacterium. RNAcentral describes it as "partial 16S ribosomal RNA". It matches the Rfam family "Bacterial small subunit ribosomal RNA", at positions 116 to 334 of the family's 1533-position model. The record is from RNAcentral.